RNAcentral lists this ribosomal RNA (253 nucleotides) under uncultured bacterium. RNAcentral's name for it is "partial 16S ribosomal RNA". It matches the Rfam family "Bacterial small subunit ribosomal RNA", at positions 524 to 776 of the family's 1533-position model. The record is from RNAcentral.
UACGUAGGGUGCAAGCGUUGUCCGGAAUUAUUGGGCGUAAAGAGCUCGUAGGCGGCUUGUCGCGUCGGCUGUGAAAACCUGGGGCUCAACUCCGGGCCUGCAGCCGAUACGGGCAAGCUAGAAUUCGGUAGGGGAGACUGGAAUUCCUGGUGUAGCGGUGAAAUGCGCAGAUAUCAGGAGGAACACCGGUGGCGAAGGCGGGUCGCUGGGCCGAUAUUGACGCUGAGGAGCGAAAGCGUGGGGAGCGAACAGG